RNAcentral lists this ribosomal RNA (1251 nucleotides) under Triticum aestivum (bread wheat). Its description in RNAcentral is "partial small subunit ribosomal RNA". The record is from RNAcentral. Lineage: Eukaryota; Viridiplantae; Streptophyta; Magnoliopsida; Poales; Poaceae.
AUGAACGACUUCUUGAUGGCCCCUUUCACUAGCGAUGAUGUUAAAAAUGUUGUACACAGUAUUGGUGAUCUAAAGGCGCCCGGGCCGGAUGGCCUUCAUGUGGUUUUCUUUAAUAAAUUCUGGCAUAUCAUUGGGGAAGAUAUUACACAGGAGGUCCUGUUUGCGAUUAAUUCCAGAAACAUUCCAGCCAAUUGGAAUGAUACCACCAUUGUUAUGAUACCGAAGACGGAAUCACCUGAAGUAGUAACUCAAUAUCGCCCCAUCAGUCUUUGCAAUGUUCUUUAUAAAAUCAUUUCUAAGAUGUUAGCCCAACGUCUUAAAAACAUUCUCCCUGAGAUAAUUUCCCCUACUCAAAGUGCAUUCGUGCCUGGUAGAAUGAUCACUGAUAAUAUCUUGAUUGCAUAUGAAUGCGUACAUAAGAUCAAGAACAAACGGACAGGACAUACGGGAUUAUGUGGCGUCAAAUUGGAUACGCACAAGGCAUAUGACAGAGUGGAAUGGUCCUUUCUCCGUGAUAUGAUGAUCACUUUAGGAUUCCAUGAACACUGGGUGGAAAUGAUAAUGACAUGUGUGAGCUCAGUUAAAUAUAAUGCGAGGUUUAAUUCUCAGGAGACAGAUUCGUUUCCUACUCGUGGUAUCAGACAAGGGGACCCACUAUCUCCUUACCUUUUCCUCCUUUGUGCAGAAGGUCUAUCUAGUUUAUUGCAGUAUGAAGAAGAAGCUGGUGGCAUGGAGGGAAUCAAAGUGUGCAGAAAUGCACCGUCAGUAUCACACCUUUUAUUUGCUGAUGAUUCUUUGAUUCUUAUGAAUGCAAAUGUGUUAAAUGCAGCUUCCUUACAACACGUUUUGGAUAUCUACUGUCAAAGCUCAGGUCAACUCAUGAGUCUAGCGAAAUCAAGUGUUUUCUUCAGUCCUAAUACAACGGCAAUUUCCAGGGCUGAAAUCUGCCAAGAGUUACACAUCGAUACGGAGGCUUUGUCACACAAAUACCUUGGUCUCCCAGCCAUGGUAGGGGUAGAUAGAAGUGACUGUUUCAAACACUUCUAUGAGAGGAUCAAAGAAAGAUUACAGGGCUAGAUGGAAAAACAACUAUCAACUGGUGGGAAAUAAAUUCUUCUUAAGUCGGUAGCCCAAGCAAUCCCAGCGUUUGCUAUGUCAGUUUUUUGCUUAACUAAAGAAGUGUGCAAAGAAAUUACGGAUCUGAUUGCGCAAUUUUGGUGGGGUGAUGAUGAGGAGCAUAAGAGGAUGCAC